UACGUAGGGGGCAAGCGUUGUCCGGAAUCAUUGGGCGUAAAGCGCGUGUAGGCGGUUCGAUAAGUCUGCUGUGAAAGUCCAGGGCUCAACCCUGGGAUGCCGGUGGAUACUGUCGGACUAGAGUACGGAAGAGGCGAGUGGAAUUCCCGGUGUAGCGGUGAAAUGCGCAGAUAUCGGGAGGAACACCAGUGGCGAAGGCGGCCUUCUGGACCAGUACUGACGCUGAGGCACGAAAGCGUGGGGAGCAAACAGG
RNAcentral lists this ribosomal RNA (253 nucleotides) under uncultured bacterium. RNAcentral's name for it is "partial 16S ribosomal RNA". It matches the Rfam family "Bacterial small subunit ribosomal RNA", at positions 524 to 776 of the family's 1533-position model. The record is from RNAcentral.